RNAcentral lists this ribosomal RNA (465 nucleotides) under uncultured bacterium. RNAcentral describes it as "partial 16S ribosomal RNA". It matches the Rfam family "Bacterial small subunit ribosomal RNA", at positions 28 to 507 of the family's 1533-position model. The record is from RNAcentral.
GACGAACGCUGGCGGCGUGCUUAACACAUGCAAGUCGAACGGAAAGGCCCUGCUUGCAGGGUACUCGAGUGGCGAACGGGUGAGUAACACGUGGGUGAUCUGCCCUGCACUUCGGGAUAAGCCUGGGAAACUGGGUCUAAUACCGGAUAGGAGCCAUUUUUAGUGUGAUGGUUGGAAAGUUUUUUCGGUGUAGGAUGAGCUCGCGGCCUAUCAGCUUGUUGGUGGGGUAAUGGCCUACCAAGGCGGCGACGGGUAGCCGGCCUGAGAGGGUGGACGGCCACAUUGGGACUGAGAUACGGCCCAGACUCCUACGGGAGGCAGAGGGGGGGAAUAUUGCACAAUGGGCGCAAGCCUGAUGCAGCGACGCCGCGUGGGGGAUGACGGCCUUCGGGUUGUAAACUCCUUUCGCUAGGGACGAAGCUUUUUGUGACGGUACCUAGAUAAGAAGCACCGGCUAACUACGUG